GAUGAACGCUAGCUACAGGCUUAACACAUGCAAGUCGAGGGGAAACGACAUCGAAAGCUUGCUUUUGAUGGGCGUCGACCGGCGCACGGGUGAGUAACGCGUAUCCAACCUGCCCACCACUUGGGGAUAACCUUGCGAAAGUAAGACUAAUACCCAAUGAUAUCCCACGAAGACAUCUGAAUGGGAUAAAAGAUUUAUCGGUGAUGGAUGGGGAUGCGUCUGAUUAGCUUGUUGGCGGGGUAACGGCCCACCAAGGCAACGAUCAGUAGGGGUUCUGAGAGGAAGGUCCCCCACAUUGGAACUGAGACACGGUCCAAACUCCUACGGGAGGCAGCAGUGAGGAAGAUUGGUCAAUGGGCGAGAGCCUGAACCAGCCAAGUAGCGUGCAGGAAGACGGCCCUAUGGGUUGUAAACUGCUUCUAUAAGGGAAUAAAGUGGGUCACGUGUGACUUUUUGCAUGUACCUUAUGAAUAAGGACCGGCUAAUUCCGUG
RNAcentral lists this ribosomal RNA (492 nucleotides) under uncultured bacterium. RNAcentral describes it as "partial 16S ribosomal RNA". It matches the Rfam family "Bacterial small subunit ribosomal RNA", at positions 28 to 507 of the family's 1533-position model. The record is from RNAcentral.